AUAUAUAACUACUGUAAGUCGCUCUGGAUAAGAGCGUCUGCUAAAUGACUAAAA
This is a non-coding RNA of Salmo salar (Atlantic salmon), 54 nucleotides long. The record is from Rfam. Lineage: Eukaryota; Metazoa; Chordata; Actinopteri; Salmoniformes; Salmonidae.